UGGUGGGUAGUUUGACUGGGGCGGUCUCCUCCUAAAGAGUAACGGAGGAGCACGAAGGUCAGCUAAUCCUGGUCGGACAUCAGGAGGUUAGUGCAAUGGCAUAAGCUGGCUUGACUGCGAGCGUGACGGCGCGAGCAGGUGCGAAAGCAGGUCAUAGUGAUCCGGUGGUUCUGAAUGGAAGGGCCAUCGCUCAACGGAUAAAAGGUACUCCGGGGAUAACAGGCUGAUACCGCCCAAGAGUUCAUAUCGACGGCGGUGUUUGGCACCUCGAUGUCGGCUCAUCACAUCCUGGGGCUGAAGUAGGUCCCAAGGGUAUGGCUGUUCGCCAUUUAAAGUGGUACGCGAGCUGGGUUUAGAACGUCGUGAGACAGUUCGGUCCCUAUCUGCCGUGGGCGCUGGAGAAUUGAGGGGGGCUGCUCCUAGUACGAGAGGACCGGAGUGGACGCAUCACUGGUGUUCGGGUUGUCAUGCCAAUGGCAUUGCCCGGUAGCUAAAUGCGGAAGAGAUAAGUGCUGAAAGCAUCUAAGCACGAAACUUGCCCCGAGAUGAGUUCUCCCUGACUCCUUGAGAGUCCUGAAGGAACGUUGAAGACGACGACGUUGAUAGGCCGGGUGUGUAAGCGCAGCGAUGCGUUGAGCUAACCGGUACUAAUGAACCGUGAGGCUUAACCUU
Molecule: ribosomal RNA, 672 nt
Filed under: Klebsiella oxytoca
Lineage: Bacteria; Pseudomonadati; Pseudomonadota; Gammaproteobacteria; Enterobacterales; Enterobacteriaceae
Also listed under: 1 other name
Description: partial 23S ribosomal RNA
Rfam family: Bacterial large subunit ribosomal RNA
Source: RNAcentral